GGGUUGUGAGGUUAAGCGACUAAGCGUACACGGUGGAUGCCCUGGCAGUCAGAGGCGAUGAAGGACGUGCUAAUCUGCGAUAAGCGCCGGUAAGGUGAUAUGAACCGUUAUAACCGGCGAUUUCCGAAUGGGGAAACCCAGUGUGACUCGUCACACUAUCAUUAACUGAAUCCAUAGGUUAAUGAGGCGAACCGGGGGAACUGAAACAUCUAAGUACCCCGAGGAAAAGAAAUCAACCGAGAUUCCCCCAGUAGCGGCGAGCGAACGGGGAGGAGCCCAGAGCCUGAAUCAGCAUGUGUGUUAGUGGAAGCGUCUGGAAAGGCGCGCGAUACAGGGUGACAGCCCCGUACACAAAAGCGCAUGUGCUGUGAGCUCGAUGAGUAGGGCGGGACACGUGGUAUCCUGUCUGAAUAUGGGGGGACCAUCCUCCAAGGCUAAAUACUCCUGACUGACCGAUAGUGAACCAGUACCGUGAGGGAAAGGCGAAAAGAACCCCGGCGAGGGGAGUGAAAAAGAACCUGAAACCGUGUACGUACAAGCAGUGGGAGCACAGGUUUACCUGUGUGACUGCGUACCUUUUGUAUAAUGGGUCAGCGACUUAUAUUCUGUAGCAAGGUUAACCGCAUAGGGGAGCCGCAGGGAAACCGAGUCUUAACCGGGCGUUAAGUUGCAGGGUAUAGACCCGAAACCCGGUGAUCUAGCCAUGGGCAGGUUGAAGGUUGGGUAACACUAACUGGAGGACCGAACCGACUAAUGUUGAAAAAUUAGCGGAUGACCUGUGGCUGGGGGUGAAAGGCCAAUCAAACCGGGAGAUAGCUGGUUCUCCCCGAAAGCUAUUUAGGUAGCGCCUCGUGAAUUCAUCUCCGGGGGUAGAGCACUGUUUCGGCUAGGGGGCCAUCCCGGCUUACCAACCCGAUGCAAACUGCGAAUACCGGAGAAUGUUAUCACGGGAGACACACGGCGGGUGCUAACGUCCGUCGUGAAGAGGGAAACAACCCAGACCGCCAGCUAAGGUCCCAAAGUCAUGGUUAAGUGGGAAACGAUGUGGGAAGGCCCAGACAGCCAGGAUGUUGGCUUAGAAGCAGCCAUCAUUUAAAGAAAGCGUAAUAGCUCACUGGUCGAGUCGGCCUGCGCGGAAGAUGUAACGGGGCUAAACCAUGCACCGAAGCUGCGGCAGCGAACGUAUCACCCAAGACAACUUUGCGGAGUUGACGAUUGACGGAGCGAAGCGACGUCAAAGCGUUCAUUAAAGUCGAGUUGGCUUAGGGAUACGUUCGUUGGGUAGGGGAGCGUUCUGUAAGCCUGUGAAGGUGUGCUGUGAGGCAUGCUGGAGGUAUCAGAAGUGCGAAUGCUGACAUAAGUAACGAUAAAGCGGGUGAAAAGCCCGCUCGCCGGAAGACCAAGGGUUCCUGUCCAACGUUAAUCGGGGCAGGGUGAGUCGACCCCUAAGGCGAGGCCGAAAGGCGUAGUCGAUGGGAAACGGGUUAAUAUUCCCGUACUUGGUGUUACUGCGAAGGGGGGACGGAGAAGGCUAUGUUGGCCGGGCGACGGUUGUCCCGGUUUAAGCGUGUAGGUGUGUGUUCCAGGUAAAUCCGGUUCACUUUAACACUGAGGCGUGACGACGAGGCACUACGGUGCUGAAGCAACAAAUGCCCUGCUUCCAGGAAAAGCCUCUAAGCAUCAGGUAACAUCAAAUCGUACCCCAAACCGACACAGGUGGUCAGGUAGAGAAUACCAAGGCGCUUGAGAGAACUCGGGUGAAGGAACUAGGCAAAAUGGUGCCGUAACUUCGGGAGAAGGCACGCUGACAUGUAGGUGAAGUGAUUUACUCAUGGAGCUGAAGUCAGUCGAAGAUACCAGCUGGCUGCAACUGUUUAUUAAAAACACAGCACUGUGCAAACACGAAAGUGGACGUAUACGGUGUGACGCCUGCCCGGUGCCGGAAGGUUAAUUGAUGGGGUCAGCGCAAGCGAAGCUCCUGAUCGAAGCCCCGGUAAACGGCGGCCGUAACUAUAACGGUCCUAAGGUAGCGAAAUUCCUUGUCGGGUAAGUUCCGACCUGCACGAAUGGCGUAAUGAUGGCCAGGCUGUCUCCACCCGAGACUCAGUGAAAUUGAACUCGCUGUGAAGAUGCAGUGUACCCGCGGCAAGACGGAAAGACCCCGUGAACCUUUACUAUAGCUUGACACUGAACAUUGAGCCUUGAUGUGUAGGAUAGGUGGGAGGCUUUGAAGUGUGGACGCCAGUCUGCAUGGAGCCGACCUUGAAAUACCACCCUUUAAUGUUUGAUGUUCUAACGUGGACCCGUAAUCCGGGUUGCGGACAGUGUCUGGUGGGUAGUUUGACUGGGGCGGUCUCCUCCUAAAGAGUAACGGAGGAGCACGAAGGUUGGCUAAUCCUGGUCGGACAUCAGGAGGUUAGUGCAAUGGCAUAAGCCAGCUUGACUGCGAGCGUGACGGCGCGAGCAGGUGCGAAAGCAGGUCAUAGUGAUCCGGUGGUUCUGAAUGGAAGGGCCAUCGCUCAACGGAUAAAAGGUACUCCGGGGAUAACAGGCUGAUACCGCCCAAGAGUUCAUAUCGACGGCGGUGUUUGGCACCUCGAUGUCGGCUCAUCACAUCCUGGGGCUGAAGUAGGUCCCAAGGGUAUGGCUGUUCGCCAUUUAAAGUGGUACGCGAGCUGGGUUUAGAACGUCGUGAGACAGUUCGGUCCCUAUCUGCCGUGGGCGCUGGAGAACUGAGGGGGGCUGCUCCUAGUACGAGAGGACCGGAGUGGACGCAUCACUGGUGUUCGGGUUGUCAUGCCAAUGGCACUGCCCGGUAGCUAAAUGCGGAAGAGAUAAGUGCUGAAAGCAUCUAAGCACGAAACUUGCCCCGAGAUGAGUUCUCCCUGAGACUUUAGGUCUCCUGAAGGAACGUUGAAGACGACGACGUUGAUAGGCCGGGUGUGUAAGCGCAGCGAUGCGUUGAGCUAACCGGUACUAAUGAACCGUGAGGCUUAACCUUACAACGCCGAAG
RNAcentral lists this ribosomal RNA (3013 nucleotides) under Salmonella enterica subsp. enterica serovar Indiana. Its description in RNAcentral is "23S ribosomal RNA". It matches the Rfam family "Bacterial large subunit ribosomal RNA". Lineage: Bacteria; Pseudomonadati; Pseudomonadota; Gammaproteobacteria; Enterobacterales; Enterobacteriaceae. The record is from RNAcentral.